RNAcentral lists this ribosomal RNA (617 nucleotides) under uncultured archaeon. RNAcentral's name for it is "bacterial SSU rRNA". It matches the Rfam family "Archaeal small subunit ribosomal RNA", at positions 66 to 684 of the family's 1478-position model. The record is from RNAcentral.
UCCUUCGGGAGCACCGGCGGACUGCUCAGUAACACGUGGACAACCUACCCUCGGGUGGGGGAUAACCUCGGGAAACUGAGGCUAAUACCCCAUAGGCCUCGGAUACUGGAAGGUUCCGAGACCGAAAGCUCCGGCGCCCGAGGAUGGGUCUGCGGCCUAUCAGGUAGUUGGUGGUGUAAAGGACCACCAAGCCUACGACGGGUACGGGCCCUGAGAGGGGGAGCCCGGAGAUGGACUCUGAGACACGAGUCCAGGCCCUACGGGGCGCAGCAGGCGCGAAACCUUCGCAAUGUGCGAAAGCGCGACGAGGGGAGCCCGAGUGCCCUUCCUUUCGGGAGGGCUUUUCUGGAGCCCAAAAAGCUCCAGGAAUAAGGGCUGGGCAAGACGGGUGCCAGCCGCCGCGGUAAUACCCGCAGCUCGAGUGGUGGCCACUAUUAUUGAGCCUAAAGCGUCCGUAGCCGGACCCGUAAAUCCCUGGGUAAAUCCUGGCGCUCAACGUCAGGAAUUCCGGGGAGACUGCGGGUCUUGGGACCGGGAGAGGCCGGAGGUACUCCCGGGGUANGGGUAAAAUCCUGUAAUCCCGGGGGGACCACCUGUGGCGAAAGCGUCCGGCUUGA